Molecule: ribosomal RNA, 301 nt
Filed under: uncultured bacterium
Lineage: Bacteria
Description: partial 16S ribosomal RNA
Rfam family: Bacterial small subunit ribosomal RNA
Source: RNAcentral
CAGUCGCCACGGUAAUACGUAGGUGGCAAGCGUUGUCCGGAAUUAUUGGGCGUAAAGGGUUCGCAGGCGGUUUCUUAAGUCUGAUGUGAAAGCCCCCGGCUCAACCGGGGAGGGUCAUUGGAAACUGGGAAACUUGAGUGCAGAAGAGGAGAGUGGAAUUCCACGUGUAGCGGUGAAAUGCGUAGGGAUGUGGAGGAACACCAGUGGCGAAGGCGACUCUCUGGUCUGUAACUGACGCUGAGGAGCGAAAGCGUGGGGAGCGAACAGGAUUAGAUACCCGCGUAGUCCCUGUCUCUUAUAA